AGGCCUGAAAGGACUCGCUGAGCAUGACAAUCAAGUGGAAGAGGGUCUUGCAAUUGCACUUGUCCCUGAGGGGGGCCCUUGUCCUUGCCACCUUGGUUCUUGCUCAGGCUGCUGGGGCUGAGGCCUGAGGUCUGGGAUGGGGAGAGAGCCUUCAGUAUGUGGGCCGCCCUCCUGUCAGAACAGUGUUUGUCGUCUCCUGCUAUCUUACGAGCAAACAGCCAUGUUGUAAAUGGCCUCUGAGGAGGACUGGCCUCUAGGAGUUGAGGACCUCAAGCCUACAUCUGCAAGGAAUUGAACGAUGCCAAGAACCCGAACAAACUCUGAAGAUGAGAAUGCGGCCCUGUGCCAAGACUGGCUGCCUUCCCCUGUUUCUGUACCACACUGGUUCCUGAAGCUAUUUGAGUUUGAGACUGCUGGGGUAACCUGACCCACUUCAAGGAUCUGAAAGUAUUUUACAGUUGGUUGAAUCCAUGGAUGUGGAACCCAUGGAUGUGAAGGACUGACUGUACUUUGCACUAGUGGUUCUCAAAGUGUGGGCCCUGGACCAGUGGCAGCAGCAUCACCUGGGAACUUGUGAGAAAUGCACUUUUCAGCUCCUGUUUCAGAUGGACCUAUCAGAAUCUCUGCAGGCUGGAGUGCAAUGGCGUGAUCUCGGCUCGCCGCAACCUCCACCUCCUGGGUUCAAGCAAUUCUCCUGCCUCAGCCUCCUGGGUAGCUGGGAUUACAGGAGAAGAGAGACAGAAGGAGAGAAGAGGGGCAGGAGGAGAGAAAACACAAGAAAGAGGAUGGAAGAUAAAGAGGAAGGUGAGGGGUUUGCUAGUUGGAGGCUGUAAAUUUUGAAGCAUCGACAUUGACCUACGGUGUCUUGGUGCCAGGUUGCUAGAGGCAUUGGCAGGCUACCUUGAGGCAGAGUGGUGUCAUGACAAGGGCACUGGGCUGGAAGACAGCUGCUACAAGCUCUCAGCCCAGCCCUGCCUCUCACUAAUUCUGGGAUCCUGGGUGAACCAUGUCACUGCUAGCUUGGCAUUUUUUUUCUGCAAAAUGCAGGGUUGGAUUAGACUGCCUGUAAGGUCCUCCCCCAGCUCCUGGGAGUUGUGACUUUAUGAUCAGCAGGCAUUCAAGCCAUGGCCAGGCAGAGCUGAGGACUAGGGUCAGGGAUAACCUGUCCUGAUACCUAGUUUCCUGAGAUUCUGGGAAUUUUUGUAGCCCACUUGGCAAGGAUGCCAAAUCAGGGACAAAGGAAUGCUGGGGUUGAGCCAGUGAUGUGGUAGAGGGAGAGGAUGGGUGGGAGAGGGCGGCACUUACAGCAGGAGGAGAUGGGCACGCUGAUGGCCAGGAUCACCCAGGCGAUAUCCAUCUUGCUCAGGCAGAUGGUGGCUCUGUGCUGCGGUUUGUCCCCCUCGGCCACAUGGGAGAUGUUCCCUGCUGUCCCAGGCUUCCAGGUCCCGGCGGGGACCAGGCGGUUGAGGAAAUUGCCUGUGGCUGUGGAUACCACUGUGGAGAGAGGACUGGGCACCCGGUCGGUCAUGGUGAGGGUGGCCACAGUCUCCUCCUUGGCUCCAGAAAUAGUGCUUUCUGAGACCCUGGAGGGAUGGGUUGGAGCUUGUGGGGUUGUGGAUGCUCCCUGAGGAAUCCCCUGGGAAGGGGCUGAGACACUGGUAUCGAAGGCAGCUGGGGUGGGCCCCGUGGCAGCCGUGAAGACCCCAGAGCUGGUAGACAGAGGUCUGCUGGUGCCAGGGGUAACAGUAAGCCAAGAGUCACUAUGGCUGGGGCCAUCCUGUGGGUCACCGUGGUGGGGGCGCUGAGAAGGCACUGGGGCAGCUUGUGGACUGACAGGGGCACCUGAGGCUGCUGUGGCAUCUGGUGUCCCUCCUUGGCUGGUGAAGGUAGAACCACCCCCCUGGGCUGCUCUGCGAAGGCCUGGCUUGUCCUUUGCAGGCCCCAGGGAGGUGGUGGUGGGUGCCCAUGAGGUAUUGCUGGGCACUGUGGUCGCAGCCACUGUCUGGGGCUGUGGUGAAGAGGAGUAGCCCCAGAGUGGGGUCCUGGGGGUGAGGGUAGAGGGCUCCGGUUCCACAGACCCUGUGAAGUUGCCCUUGUAGAUCUGAAAGAUUUUCCCCAGGGGCCGCUUCUGCCCCAGAGGUGUGGAGCUUGGAUUUCGUCCUCGCUGUCCUUCUUUACUCCUGGAGUGGCCACCAGGUGCAGGCGGGACAGGGCGUGAUGAAUUACCAGCCCCUUUUCGGGAAGAGCCUGGGGGCCUGGGGGGCCUGCGUGUGGUAGUGCGGGGGGGCGCUGUGGUGGGGCGGCUGGUGGCCCCCGGUGGCUUUGUCAGCAGGAUGGUGGGGGCAGCCUGCCCUCGAGGGCGGCCCUCUGGCUUGGAGGAUGUGGUUGCCAUGGCUGCUGGAGCGGGCCCUGUGGACAGGGAGCUUUCAGAAUGGGGGGCGGUUACUGUCGCAGCGAUGGUGGAGAUGGUGUGCGUAGGAGGGUGCCCCUCUGCACGGGGUGUCGGUGUUGCCAUGGGAGCUGCAGCCUGUGAGGGGGGUCCAUCGGGAUUGGGGGUCAGCAUCACCACAGAAGUAUGUCUGGUAGAGCUGUGGGGUGCUGUCACCAUGGUUCCCGGGGGAGUGCCUGAAGGGAGGACCUGAAGAGAUUCCCUGGGAGAUGGUUCCUGGAUGGCAAAUGCCAGCGCUUCGGUCAGUGCCAAGAUCAGCAGGAAACCUUGAAAAGGAGACAGAGAGAAGAGGUAAAAUACUUGGGGAGCAGCAUACAGCCUGGGCCUUUCUUACCUGUGGCCUAGGACAGUGCUGGGAACUCAGGAAACGUCAGGAGCAUUCCUGAGCCCACACUAGUGCUCCUACACUGAACCAGAACUGUCUGUGGAGCUGGGGCAGGUCUAUUAGGUAGGUGCUGCCUGGUACCUGCUGGAAAGAGAGACCAGCACCAGGGGAAGCAGAGCAGCUACCCUGGCCAGGCUCCUCCUUUCCCACAUGCCUCAGAAACGCCAUCAGCCCUCCCCACAAGGGCAACUUUUCAGAACAGGCUGGGGCUGGAGGUGUAGAAGGCUUGUGGCCUCCACAUCUGCCUCUUCCUCUGCAGCCAGGAGUGGUCAAGGACAGCUUGCCUGUGGGGAAGCCUGUGUGAACUCUGUGUGAGCCACCCCAAGCCAAAUGAGGAAGGCCUGGGUGGCAGUAUGUACCAACUCUUAUGCCCUUUUCUGAAUCUUCCAUUUAUAAACUACACAAAGGUACAAGCAAACAGACCUCUGUCCCUUCAGGACCAUUCGCCAAACAAUUAUGGAGGUUCAACCCUCUCCCUGACCCUGGAGGACACAAAAACGAACAGGGCAGUCUCUGGCCCUGGAUAAGCUCGCACAUAUCCACAAACAAUCCUAAAAUAAGACAAAGAUGUCUCAGUGCCAUAGAAGAGUGACAGGCAGAAGAGGACCGGGGUCUAGAGAAGAGCAACCAGACCUGGAGCCCAUAAAAGCACUUAGCACAGCCUGGAACAGAAGGUGCCUUCUACAAAUGCCGGCUGGUGUCAUGGUUGUUAUUAACUGCUUUUCCUAUGGCAUUCAUGUGGCUGAACUCUGAAAAAUUGUCAUUGGUGAUAUCCAGCCUUUUUGAGUAGAAGGAGCCCUUUUGAACAUUAAAAAAAAAAAAAAAAAAAGGAUUUUGUAUGAUAGCCAAUGUGCAUACUUGCAGUUCAAGAAAAUGCACAAGGACAAAAACGUAUAUGUUUAAAAACAUUUCUAGUUAUGUGUGGAUUUUAUCAAUCACAAUAGCAUGUGCCUAUUUUUAAAAAUGGUACCUCAUGCAAGCAUGACAUGUAGGAGCCGUUGACAACACAUGGGUUGGGAAGAGCCUGUCUCUACGGCUGAGGAAGGGCCAACAGUCCUCUGAGGCCUGAUUCUGACCUGUUAGCACCUCCUUGUUCAUGGAUCCCCUUCUUUGUCAUCCUCAGGCAGUUCCUUCAGCCCCUGCUAGGCUCCUCUGACUAUGGAGAGAGAUCUCUGUCUGCGUCUAAUUACUCUCUCAGAGCGUCUUUCCUCCAUCAGAUUCCAGCAGGACAAACGGCCAAAGCAGGGGCCCCAGCUGUGAUUCCCAGGUGUCUGAUGGAGAAGGCAGGGCCCUGGCGAGAAGCAGAGAUGGGGAGGAGAUCUCCAGGCAUGCCUUUGACACAAGGCCCAGGAUCACCGUUUGGUGUGUGGUGGAGCCUGGGCAUGGGCCUGUGUCCUCACCCUGCACUUCUAAAUUGGUGGGGAGUGGGAGGCUGCGGGGGACUUUAGAUUGCACUGAGGCUGUAGCACCCACCAACUCUAGGACCAAAAAUUUGCCCUAAACAAUCUAUUUUUUUCUAAACUUUCAUUCAUGAUCUAGACUAGCGGUCCCCAACCUUUUUGGCACCAGGGACAAAUUGUCUUCCACUUGGUUUUGUGGAAGACAGUUUUUCCAUGGACUGGAGUUGGUCGGGGGGGGUAUGGUUUUGGGAUGAAACUCUUCCACCUCAGAUCAGCAGGCAUUCAAUUCUCAUCAGGAGCACGCAACCAGAUCCAUCCCUUGCAUGUGCAGUUCACAAUAGGGUUUGUGCUCCUAUGAGAAUCUAAUGGUGCCGCUGACCUGACAGGAGGCAGAGCUCUGGCAGUAACGCUCUGGCGGUGAUGCUCCGGUGGUGAUGCUGGCUCACCGGCCUCCCACCUCUUGUGGUGCAGCCUGGUUCCUAACAGGCCACAGACUGGUACUGGUCUGUGACCCAGUGGUUGGGGACCCCUGAUCUAGACCACACACCGACAGCACAUUCUGUGUAUUCGAGUCAAUCCUAAAACCUGUUUACUGAACACUUGCCCUGGCCCAGGCUUUCAUGCUUUAAUCCAUAUGACCACUUGGUGGAGCAUGAAAUUGAGGUUUGGGGAGAUUAGGCAACAUGUGGAAAGUCACACAGUAGCAGAAGUAUGUGAAACAAGGGUUGUCUUUAAAGUGCAUGCUUAUCCUGGUCAACCACUAUCAAUGAUGCAGAAGGAGGAAGAAGAGGACAGUAUGUUGCAUCCCAGAAGAAUUAAUGUGCUGUUAUGCUCUGACCUGCUCAGGGUUAUUCUGGUGCCCCUAUCCUGCCCACAGCUUAACACCAGAGAGACAAUCUAUUCCUAGGGCUAGUGGUGGUGACCUCCAUGUUUUGAUGGACAUUCCCUUUCAAGUGUCUGUUUAGCUCACAAGUGUUAAGUGUUGUUAAGGACUGACUUAUGCACCCCCAAAAUCCCUAUGUUGAAUCCCUAAUUCCCAGUACCUUAGAAUGUGACUAUAUUUGGAGAUAGGGCUUUCAAAGAGGUAAUUAAAGUAAAAUGAGGCCAAAAGAGUGGGCCCUAAUUCGAUCUGACUGGUGUCCUUCUUAAGAAGAGGAGAUUAGGACACACAGACAUCUGGAGCACGUGUGCACAGAGGGAUGAUCAUGUGAGGACACGGCAGCUAGAGGACGCCAUCUGCAAGCCAAGGAGAGAGGACUCGGGGGACUCCAACCCUAUUGGCGCCUUGAAUUUAGACUUCCAUCCUCCUCAAAUGUGAGGAAGUACAUUUCUGUCUGUGGUAUUGUGUUAUGGAAGCCCUAGCAAACUAAUACACAUGCCUUAUGUUAAGAGAUCCUCUGAAAAAGGAGAGACAGAGACAGGGCUUUUGUGCAGGAAGUUUAUACUGGAAAAUGAUCUGUGGGGUCAGCCGUGGGGGUCUGAGAUUAGUGAAACAGGGAAAACCAAUCUGAGGGCAGGUUAUGAGCUGGUCCAGGUGGGCACCUCAAACUCACAGGGGACGUCAGUGGAGCUGAGUAGGCUGCACCUCAAAUUGUCUGCCUGAAAAGAACACUCACCCAGAGGCUCCCAUAUUCACUGAUCAAGGGCUGCUCCUGGGAUGCUCAUCACUGCACUUCCUGACUGACGCCAGGUCUCCAUUAGCUGGAUCAGAGAAGUUCUGGGCCAUAGGGCUGUCAGGUUCUGCCUGCACCCAGCUGGUGUUUGCUGCAACAGCUGGAGUUAAAAUUAAGGGCCCGGGGAAUCUCUGGGGCCAGGCACCAGAUGUGUCAGAUACAAUAAAAGACCGGAGACCAAGGACACAGCAGUCUUUUGGAAGCAACAUUGGCUGACCCCAGGGACAGGCCCUCAGGUGGGAGAGGAGCCACCAUGGCCUCUAGGAGAACUUUUGCGGCACUCCAGAGGCAGAGAGAGGGGUUAAUACAGACUGAUCUUUAAAACACUCAGGGAAAAAAAUUCCCCUGACUUUCCCAUCACUGGCAUUCCAGGAACUAACAUCCUCCUAGCUGGGAAGCCUUUGACUGGAAUCCUUGGUGCUGUAAGAUACACAGCCUAAGUAAAUAUGUUUGUCUUUGUUGCUGCUGCCUAUUUCCCCCACUCAGCUAUCAGCAUCCCCUGAAGUUAUUGUUCUCUCUAGAACUGUAGAGUUACCUCUUAGCCCUUUCUUCUUUGGACUUUAGAGUACAUCAUCUUUGGCACAAUGAACGGAUACUGCCACCGUGGGUGCCAAGGGAUUUUUACCUGGAGGAUGAUGUUUACAUGUUACAGUGAGAGGGGAUCUGGCAUUUCACCUAAUCCAAUCCCCUCAUUUCACAGAGUGGGCAACAGAAGGAGGGAAGUGACUUGUCCAAGAACACAUUGCUGGUUGGGGACACAGCCUGGACCACAGCCAUUAUUUCAAAGCAACUUUUCAUUUGUAUAAUAAAAAUCCCUACAAUGUUGUGCUAGCCAAAUACCACCUCCAACCUCUACUGUCACCUUCAAUAUGGAAAUCAGACAAGCAUUUACCUCUCUUCUUUGGCACAAAAGGUUAACAACUGAAUGCUAUGCACACUGUCACAAUAAACAUCUGAGGCCUUCAACCCAGGGCUUCCCUAACACAUGCAAAUUUUCAUUCAAGGCCCUUUGUGCUGGACUACACACUCCCCCUCCCCACAAUCUGAGGCUACUGCCUCUUUGCAUAUUAUUUGCAUGGAUUUGCAUAAUGGACUCUAGAGGCUUUAAUUCCAAAUAUGUAGUAGAGACUAAAGCUAAAACCUAGCUUCACAUGCUUGAAAUGUGGAACCGAUUUUUAAAACGUGUCUGAAUAUGGACAAUUGUUGUGGGGUGGAAUCUACAUAUUGAUGGGUGUCCAGACAUCACAAGAAGGUCUCCUCCUACUGAAAAUUCCAAUGCAUACAUGAGCUCAGGACCCAAGGGAAGGAAAGGUCCUCCUCCUUCUGUUUAUUUGGUUGGCUGCCUGCAGUCCAUAUUGGGCAUGACAUUUGCAUCUGGCAAAGGCAACAAGGGAAUUGAUGAAAAGAGAAAUGGCUAAUAUGUACUAUACACUGCUCAAAGGGCUAAGCCUGUACUGACAUAUUUAAUUCUCACAGCAACCUCAUGAAGCAGGUAGUAUUAUUAGCUCCCUGUUGCAAUUGAGGAAAAGAAGCACAGAGAGGUACAGGAACUUGCCCAUGGUCAUAUAGCUGGGGAAUGGCAAGCUGCAAUUUGUUCCUAGGCAGCUUGGCUGCAGAGUCUAUGCUCUCGACUACUUUCAUUUAUUGUUCUGCUCUACCCAUCUCCCCAGGGGGCUCUGCCAUUCAAAAGCAAUGAUUCACAUCUUUGGAGAACUGAUUCUCUAUUGUUGGUCUCUUGACUUUUCUUCUGUCUUGUUUUUUUUCUAUCUCUAUUCCAGGGCUCUGUAUGACAUAUUUGGUGUUCUUUUAACAACCCAGUAAAUUAAAUUCAUUUUGCAAGUAACCGGGGGAGCUUGUAGUAGUACAAUAAAAGGACUGGAAGCCCCUGAUUUAAUUCUCUCCUCUUCCCCAAUCCUAACAUCUCAUACACUCCAUUGUUUGGUAGAAUAAAAAUUAUGUAUAUAAAAACCACAAAAUUAUAUAUGUGUGUGUGUGUAUAUAUAUAUAUAUAUAUAUAACAAAAAUUAUAUAUACACACAUAUACAUACACACUUUCUCUUAAAAUUGCUUAUAUACACACAAGGCAUAUUUGUUACACAGAAAAUUCAUAAAAAUAGAAUUUUAUCUUUUUUUCAUAAUUUUAAGUUUCUUCUAAGUAGAUCUUCCUUCCCCAUUAAACUAGGUUUUCUACUGCAAGAUAUUUUGUGCAUUGCUGUUUUAAACCCUUUUAACAGCGAAUCAUAGCAGUCUGAGAAGUCUUCUGAACCAUCCUGGACUCUUGGUGUGAUUUUAAAUUGUGUCUACAAGUUCUCUGACAUUCUUCCCACCAAGAGGUAGAGUCUGUUUCCCCUCCCUUUGAACCUAGGUAGGCCUUUGUUACUGCCUUGAUGAAUACAAUGAGGCAGAAGUGACACCCUACAUCCCUUCUGAGGCUACAGCCAAAAAGCUCAUGCAGCUUUUACAGGUUUCUCUUGGGGGCUUUGGCCCCCCGUAAGAACUCCAGUUCCCUCAAGGUGGCCACAUAAAGAGACCUUGCAGAGAGUAACAGGAACGCCUGAGGAGACCCAGCUGUCCCAGCCCCAGCCAGGCACCGGACAUGAAAGUGAAGAGCCUGCAAGAUGACCCUGGCCACUGCUGGACUGCAAUCACCCAAGAGAUCCCAGAUGAGAGCUGCCUAGCUGAGCCUGGUCAACCCUAAGAUUUUUGAACAAAAUAAAUGAUUGUUACUGCUUUAAGCCACUGUUUUGGUUUCUAUUAUCAAUAGGUAACUGGAACACUUGGGAAUUUAGCUUCUGCAAUUGAUGUUUCAACAACAAAAGAAAAGAGCAUCUAAGCACACUAAGUCUGACCAUCAGGGAGUUUGUUUUCUGCAUGAGCAACAGCACACAACCUUGCCAGGAAAUGGGCUUUUCUAAUUUCAAGAUUAUUGUUCUUUAAUUGGAAGGGAUGUUGGGACUCUGGUAUCAGCUCCUCCACUUUACAGAUGAGAAAGCUGAGGCCCAACAAAGUGAAAUGAUUUACCUUGGCCACACAGCUACACACAGGGUUAGGGACAGGGAGGGACUCAGGCCAACUCAUUGCCUGCCAAUCCCAUUAAGGUGCCAAACUCAUACUGUAUCUAUCUAUCUAUCUAUCUAUCUAUCUAUCUAUCUAUCUAUCUAUCUAUCUAUCUAUCAUCUAUCUAUCUAAAUUUCUUUUUUUUUUUUUUUUUGAGACAAGGUCUCACUCUGUGACCCAGGCUAGAGUGCAGUGGCGUGAUCACAGCUCACUGCAGCCUUGACUUCCUGGGCUCAAGUGAUCCUCCCACCUCAGCCUCCCGAGUAGCUGGGACUACAGGCACACGCCACUGUGCCCAGCUAAUUUUUGAAAUGGGGUCUUGCCAUGUUGCUGGUCUCCACCUCCUGGGUUCAAGCAAUCUGCCUGCCUUGGCCUCUCAGAAUUUUGGGAUUACAGGCGUGAGCCACUGUGCCUGGCCAGUGUUCUUUUUCUACUCACUGUGGUUCCAGUGUUCUAGUAUGGUCCAUCUCUGAACUCCAAUGAUUCCUUUUAUUAAAGAUCAAAUAUAAACUUCUAAUUCCUUGGAGCAUGGUUUCCCUUAACCAAAAAUAAAUAUGUAUCACUGACUUCAGGGUGAGCUGGGUGAUUGAUCUUAAGAGGCAAUCCAUGCCUGUGACUUCACUUCUUUAUGAAACCAAGGAGUUUUGAGUGCAAAUCUUUUCUGCUUCCCUCACUACAGGUUGCCACAUUUAAAAUGUUCCCUACUAUAAAAUCCUGCUGGGAACAUGCCUCAGAUAACAAGGCUGAAGGACAGAAAGUUCUGCUUAGAGCUAACUGGGACCAUUGUUUGGUAGAUUACAGACAUCUCUGAGAUUACUGGUUCAACAGCUAGACUGAUGAGGUCCAUGACUUGUACUUUGGGAAACUGCUUCCCAGAGUACAAUCUCUUGAAUACAUUCCAGCAAGAAAGUCAUGUGAGACAGGGCUUGUGUGCCCCAGACACACCUAUGGCCUUCAGCCAACAUGAAUUCACCUUGUGCUGAAGCUCUAGGGGGCUGACAGACCAUGGUCUCCUAAAAAACAUAUGAACAAACACACGUGAACACACACCCACACAGAGUAAGCAUAGGCCUUUUCCCAGGGGUAAGAAACAGGGAAGAAUGACAAAUUUUCAGCUCAAGUCCCCCAUCAUCUCCACAUUCACAUAUGGUUAAAGUCAUUUGUCUGAGGUCAAAAUGACCACCAUGUAGCAGUACCAGGAUUUAAACCCAGGUUUCUCUGAUCCUGACUGCCCAA
RNAcentral lists this long non-coding RNA (10200 nucleotides) under Homo sapiens (human). RNAcentral's name for it is "non-protein coding BFSP2-AS1:10". The record is from RNAcentral. Lineage: Eukaryota; Metazoa; Chordata; Mammalia; Primates; Hominidae.